RNAcentral lists this transfer RNA (73 nucleotides) under Candidatus Woesearchaeota archaeon. RNAcentral's name for it is "tRNA-Val". It matches the Rfam family "tRNA". From Rfam's summary of the family: Transfer RNA (tRNA) molecules are approximately 80 nucleotides in length. Their secondary structure includes four short double-helical elements and three loops (D, anti-codon, and T loops). Lineage: Archaea; Nanobdellati; Candidatus Woesearchaeota. The record is from RNAcentral.
GGGCCUGUGGUCUAGCGGUUAUGAUACAACCUUCACACGGUUGUGGUCGCCAGUUCGAAUCUGGCCGGGCCCA